AGCAGGCGGGUGCAGCCUGUCCCGCGUACCCAGGCGUCCUCGGUACCCACGAAACGGAUCCAAAGAGUCUCAACACUAAUGUAACAUCCCACCCUGACCCAUCUUUGCCCUCUGAGAAAAGCGGCCCGAAAUGAGACUCAGGUGGGCGGAGCAGAGCUCAGCUUGGGAGGAGGCGGACGCGAGUAGCUCGGCAGGGGGACUCGCUUGGCUUUCGUGCCAUCCGUGGACACAGUCGCGCGGGUAGGUGACCGGGUUGGAUUUCAAAGUCCAGCAGGAAAUCCUGCCCUCUGGGUUGCACUUCCUGGAUGAGCCUCUGACGUCUCAAGCAGCAUUGUUUUAAUGCUUUGAUGAAGCUCAGCACGCUGCCGAAAUCUCGGCAGUAUUUUUUCUUUUCUUUUUGCAUGUGAGAGAAAGGACAACAAAUUGCAGUUUUAUCCAUUUGUAUUAUUUCUUUAGAAAACUCAACACUCUUUUUGUUGGAGGUGGGGAAAUGAGAAGGUGAUGUUUUGUUUUGCUUUUUUUCCUAUUUUUUUUUUUUAAAGGAGGAGAAGAUGACAGUGUUCUCCCUAAGGAUGAAGUUUGACUUUUGAAACAUAUCACAUGCUUAAAGCACAUUUGAGCUCCUGCAUGAACAGUAAGCUAGCAGAUGGUAGAAAUAUUCUUUAUUAAUUCAAAAAAUAUUUACUGCGGACCUACAAUGUGCCAAGCAUGUCUCCUGACACUGGGGAUAAGCAGUGAACAACAACAAAAAGACAAACUUCUUCCACCCUGAGGCGUAUGUUCUCGGUCUUUGUGGGAAGAAACAAAUCACAAAAGCAAUUAAGAGAGCUCAAACAAUGGGGUUUAUGCCAGUUACAUACAAGGAUCCUGCAUAUUUCAGGGACCCUAAAGUUUAUAACAUCAGAUAUCCGGAAUAAAUUCCAUCACAUUACCACCAGUAAACUUAUUUUAUAAGAUGGGUCUCACUGUGUUGCCCAGGCUGGUCUCUAACUCCUGGCCUCAAUCAUUCCUGCCUUGUCUUCCCUAAGUGCUGGGAUUACAGCUGUGAGCCACUGUGCCUGGCCUCACUUUUCCAAUUCUAAAGAAUGUGUGUAAGCCUUUCCCUCAACAACUUAUUGAAAGGCGAAAAAAGGUUUGGAAAUAAAAGGAUCUGAUGUUUGAAAAAGUACUUUGUAAAAUAAAUGCACUAAGACUUAUCUGUGGAUUACUGCAAAGAGGUGAAUAUAGUAAAAACAAAUGAACUUACCUGUAUUACUGCAAGUAGC
RNAcentral lists this long non-coding RNA (1265 nucleotides) under Homo sapiens (human). Its description in RNAcentral is "non-protein coding lnc-NAT1-3:6". The record is from RNAcentral. Lineage: Eukaryota; Metazoa; Chordata; Mammalia; Primates; Hominidae.